This 447-nucleotide ribosomal RNA is filed under the name uncultured bacterium. Its description in RNAcentral is "partial 16S ribosomal RNA". It matches the Rfam family "Bacterial small subunit ribosomal RNA", at positions 29 to 523 of the family's 1533-position model. The record is from RNAcentral.
AACGAACGCUGGCGGCAGGCCUAACACAUGCAAGUCGAACGCCCCGCAAGGGGAGUGGCAGACGGGUGAGUAACGCGUGGGAACCUACCUUUCGGUGCGGAAUAACUUCGGGAAACCAAAGCUAAUACCGCAUACGCCCUACGGGGGAAAGAUUUAUCGCCGAUAGAUGGGCCCGCGUCGGAUUAGCUAGUUGGUGAGGUAAUGGCUCACCAAGGCUACGAUCCGUAGCUGGUCUGAGAGGAUGAUCAGCCACACUGGGACUGAGACACGGCCCAGACUCCUACGGGAGGCAGCAGUGGGGAAUAUUGGACAAUGGGCGCAAGCCUGAUCCAGCCAUGCCGCGUGAGUGAAGAAGGCCUUAGGGUUGUAAAGCUCUUUUAGUGGGGACGAUAAUGACGGUACCCACAGAAUAAGCCCCGGCUAACUUCGUGCCAGCCGCCGCAGUAA